This 244-nucleotide ribosomal RNA is filed under the name uncultured Staphylococcus sp. RNAcentral's name for it is "partial 16S ribosomal RNA". It matches the Rfam family "Bacterial small subunit ribosomal RNA", at positions 96 to 334 of the family's 1533-position model. The record is from RNAcentral. Lineage: Bacteria; Bacillati; Bacillota; Bacilli; Caryophanales; Staphylococcaceae.
CGGCGGACGGGUGAGUAACACGUGGAUAACCUACCUAUAAGACUGGGAUAACUUCGGGAAACCGGAGCUAAUACCGGAUAAUAUAUUGAACCGCAUGGUUCAAUAGUGAAAGACGGUUUUGCUGUCACUUAUAGAUGGAUCCGCGCCGCAUUAGCUAGUUGGUAAGGUAACGGCUUACCAAGGCAACGAUGCGUAGCCGACCUGAGAGGGUAAUCGGCCACAUUGGGACUGAGACACGGCCCAG